This 2069-nucleotide long non-coding RNA is filed under the name Mus musculus (house mouse). RNAcentral's name for it is "long non-coding RNA chr2:145865244-145867313". The record is from RNAcentral. Lineage: Eukaryota; Metazoa; Chordata; Mammalia; Rodentia; Muridae.
GCUAUACAGAGAAACCCUGUCUCGAAAAACCAAAAAAAAAAAAAAAAACAAACAAACAAAAAAAAAAAAUGUGAUUUUGUUUUUUGAUCUUUGUUGGUUUCCCCGGAGAGACAGUGCUGAAAUGUGUUUGAACUGCCUAGAGGAAUGAAGAACUCGUAAAAAGGGAACAUUGAGAGCCUGGUGCAGGGACACUCACCUACAGUCCCAGCUAUAGGAGGUUGAAGCAGGAGGAUUAUUUUAGCCCCAGGGUCAGAUGUGGAUCUGGGCUACCUAGUGAGAAACCCCACCUCUAAAAGGGGAGGUCCCACCUCUAAAAGGGGAGGUCCCACCUCUAAAAGGGGAGGUCCCAUGUCACUUUUCCAAGUUAAGCAACCACUGCUACUUUGGUUCAGAGUCUGCCAAAGGUUUUUGGUUUGGUUUCGUAUCACUUGUUUGUUUUGAGUGAAGCCAUUGUGUUUUGUUUUGUUUUUAAUGUGUUUGUUUUGUUUCAUAUAGGGGUUCCAGUUUUGUUUUGUGGGGGAGUCUCCAUUGGCUUUGAAUUUGUAAUGUAGACCAAGCCGGAACUCAUUAUGUACAGUCUAGAGCUCACUAGGUAGACCAGGCUAGAACGCACUAUGUAGACCAGGCUGGCUUCAAAUAUGUGGCUUUCACCCCAGCCUCUGUUUCUGCCUCUCAAGUUCUGCUGAUUCGGUGCUAUUUUAAAUGCGUGUUCAAGUCCGGCACAAGUUCCAAUGUCUCAUGUAAUUAUCGUAAAUUCACAAUGGGAUUUAAGACCUUAAAUUAUUUGCUUCUUAAAAAGCCAUUCUGAGUCAUGUGGUGAGAGGGAUGCUAGUGCCAAACUGAGAUUAAAACCUUGUAUCUUCUGACUGUUCAUCUAGUACUUGUGACUCUGUCACCUGAAAGGAUCAAGUGUCUUAGAGUUAGGAAUUAGUACAGUAAUGGGAGAAAGAGUGGCCACUUCUAGAAUUUGAAAAAAAUGCCUAUAUUAUUAUUGAAGAUUAGUUUAAAUGCUAAUUUUUAUUUUCCACCUCAGUACUGAGGAUUGAAUUUAGAGCCUGGCACACAGUAGGCAAGCAUAAACCCUCAUUUUUCUUUUUAUUUUGAAACAGGGGCUUAAUAAGUUGCCUGGGCUGGCAUUGAAUUUAUUCUGCAGCCCAGAAUGGCCCUGACUCAUGAUCCUCUUGUCUCAGCCUCCCAAGUAGCUGGGAUUACAGGCAUGUACCACCAAAGUUCAGCUUCAUUCUUACUUUAGAAUAUCAAAAUUCAGUCCGUUGUGUUAUAGCAGCCAUAAGAAGGCUCACCACCCCGUAGCUGAGAGCCUGUGAGCAUACGUCAGCCACUCCAUGAUAUUCCACCCAAGGAGCCUCCAACUCUGCCAUUUCCAAAGCCCUGCUCAGAGGUUCAAAGUGUGGAUCGCGUUACAGAGCAAGGCAUGUCUGUACUAGAUGGUUUGCUGGGCUAGACAGUUCUGCCUCUUGGGCAAGAAACCCCAGGGAAAAGAGGAGUUUGUACUGAACUGAAGGGUGUGAGUCAGGGGCCCUAAGUUGCCACACUGAUUGACUAGAAGAAACAUUUUGCUCUCCCACUACACUACUCACAAAGAGAAUAAUUCCAAUUGGCCGUGUCAGCAAAGUGGGCGGUGCACAGGCUGAGGCUUCAGUGGUCUGCAGGGCUGACCUCCAGCCCAGUCUCACAAGCUCAGCGUCUGAGCAGGGGACAGGCGCACUUCCCCUUCUUCCCUGCCUUGGUUUUUUUCUGAUCUUUUACUGGAAGGCACUGAAAUCAGCCCUAGAGAUUCCUUAUAUGAGAUACUACCUGGAUCAAGCCCAUAUGUUUUCAUGGUGGCCUUCACUGAAACUUACCAAAUGGGCAAAACUUAAAGUGAGAUGCUCGGGAAAGUGACUGACUAAUUGCAUGCACUACUCCUUCAGUGAACUCAAGUUCAGUCCCCAGAACUCAUCUCGGGUGGUUUACCACCUCCUGUAAGGGAUUUGAUGCCCUCUGCUGGCCUCCUGGGGUACCUGCACUUAUGUGUAUAUACCCAUACACAGAUACACAUGAACACACGU